This 754-nucleotide ribosomal RNA is filed under the name uncultured Acinetobacter sp. RNAcentral describes it as "bacterial SSU rRNA". It matches the Rfam family "Bacterial small subunit ribosomal RNA", at positions 28 to 776 of the family's 1533-position model. The record is from RNAcentral. Lineage: Bacteria; Pseudomonadati; Pseudomonadota; Gammaproteobacteria; Moraxellales; Moraxellaceae.
AUUGAACGCUGGCGGCAGGCUUAACACAUGCAAGUCGAGCGGGGUGAGGUACUUCGGUACUGAUCCUAGCGGCGGACGGGUGAGUAAUGCUUAGGAAUCUGCCAUUUAGUGGGGGACAACAUUCCGAAAGGAAUGCUAAUACCGCAUACGUCCUACGGGAGAAAGCAGGGGAUCUUCGGACCUUGCGCUAAAUGAUGAGCCUAAGUCGGAUUAGCUAGUUGGUGGGGUAAAGGCCUACCAAGGCGACGAUCUGUAGCGGGUCUGAGAGGAUGAUCCGCCACACUGGGACUGAGACACGGCCCAGACUCCUACGGGAGGCAGCAGUGGGGAAUAUUGGACAAUGGGCGGAAGCCUGAUCCAGCCAUGCCGCGUGUGUGAAGAAGGCCUUUUGGUUGUAAAGCACUUUAAGCGAGGAGGAGGCUACCUGGAUUAAUACUCUGGGAUAGUGGACGUUACUCGCAGAAUAAGCACCGGCUAACUCUGUGCCAGCAGCCGCGGUAAUACAGAGGGUGCGAGCGUUAAUCGGAUUUACUGGGCGUAAAGCGUGCGUAGGCGGCUGAUUAAGUCGGAUGUGAAAUCCCUGAGCUUAACUUAGGAAUUGCAUUCGAUACUGGUCAGCUAGAGUAUGGGAGAGGAUGGUAGAAUUCCAGGUGUAGCGGUGAAAUGCGUAGAGAUCUGGAGGAAUACCGAUGGCGAAGGCAGCCAUCUGGCCUAAUACUGACGCUGAGGUACGAAAGCAUGGGGAGCAAACAGG